UCGUACACCUAUGUUUGGUCUACCAAUGUUUGCCUUAUUCAGUUCAUAUAAAGCAACUGUUAUAGCUAAAGAUGGCCCUGGUGCGCCCUCGCCAGUCUCGUCCCUCUAUUUUGAUUGAUGCAUUGCACAUAGUUUGUGAGUUUCAACUGUUAUAGCUAAAGAUGGCCCUACAACCUGUACAACCUGGAAACCUCACCAACUAGGUACAAUCAACUCAAAGCGAAGAAUAACCUGUUUAAAUUCAUUUUCAAAUAUUGAUCUUUGAUGCUAUCUUUUACUUUACACAUUCUUAUAUGGUGUGGGAUGUGGAUCGGGGAGAAGGAGGUUGCAGAGAUAUUUUUCUUUCCCUUUCUCUGCAAUAUAAAGGUUCAUCUCUUUUAAGAGAAGGCGGUGAUUAAUUAUAAGGAUGAAAACAAAAAAGAAGAACCCAAAUUCUUUACCCAUAUUUGCAUUUUAAGUUUUGUAUCCCAGAAUUUCUAAUCUCUGAAAUUUCUUCCUGCCUUUUCCAUUUCCAAUGGUGCCGAUUAUGCUCCAGCCUCUUACUGCCUAAAUCAUAGAGCAAUUUUACUGCACCUUUUUGUAUCAAACUAGAGCAUCAUAUUUCUUUGUCUGGAAAAACAAACUCUGAUAAUGGUUGCUGAUGUGUAUUUGCAGAUCUGAUAAAACAGGACCACUCCUGGGAGAAGUGUUGAAAAAACUAUUACAAGGACACAGGUAUACAAGCUUAAAUAUAAUUCGGAGAAACUUCCAUUUGAUUGUCCUGAAAGUGUGGGCUCACAUGUUAACCAAUUCUAAAUGCAGGGAUUUUACAAUGCAAGCAUAGUUAUGUUAUACUUUCUUCAAAUUCCUGAAGUGAAAGUGUUAGAGAUGCUUAGAAUGAUUUGCUUUGGCAGGUCAAAAGGCUUGGUGCAUAUGGGACACUAAAUGACACAUCAAUAAUAGAAAAAUUCUUUCAUUGUGUAGGCUUUGGAGUUCCUUCCCUUGGCUCUUAGUAAGACCAUAGCUUAAAAAUUCGAGUCCAACCUAAAAGAUGAUGUUCAUAAGAUUUUUUUUCUUCUUGAUUGUUGGUAGCUUUGUUCAGUGUAUUAGUAAGUCCAUGUUGUUAUUUGUAGCAAUAUUUGAUUAAUUUUGAUAUUUAGAUGUUGGAGUAAAUGGAGAUCACUUUAUUCUUUGUUGUAUUCCAAUAGUUGAUGAAUUUUGAUGUAGCUUUUUAGUUGGCUGACAAAGUCUUAGAAUUGACUUACGAGAGCUGGGGAGAAAUUUUCGGUUGAUCAGCUAGUUGAAGUUGAUUCGGCCAAAAAGUGGAAUUCUCAACCAUGUCUGUCACGUGGCAUGACAUCUUCUAUGGAGCUGUCAACUCUCGAAAUAAAGAACGCAGAGAACCUUACAAUCCCAAG
This is an RNA transcript of Lycium ferocissimum, 1397 nucleotides long. RefSeq lists it as uncharacterized. The record is from RefSeq and is a predicted model, not a curated record. The transcript has 3 exons. NCBI's taxonomy places the organism in Eukaryota, Viridiplantae, Streptophyta, Magnoliopsida, Solanales, Solanaceae.